GACGAACGCUGGCGGCGUGCCUAAUACAUGCAAGUUGAGCGCUGAAGGCUGGUACUUGUACCAACUGGAUGAGCAGAGAACGGGUGAGUAACGCGUGGGGAAUCUGCCUUUGAGCGGGGGACAACAUGUGGAAACGAAUGCUAAUACCGCAUAAAAACUUUAAACACAAGUUUUAAGUUUGAAAGAUGCAAUUGCAUCACUCAAAGAUGAUCCCGCGUUGUAUUAGCUAGUUGGUGAGGUAAAGGCUCACCAAGGCGAUGAUACAUAGCCGACCUGAGAGGGUGAUCGGCCACAUUGGGACUGAGACACGGCCCAAACGCCUUCGGGAGGCAGCAGUAGGGAAUCUUCGGCAAUGGACGAAAGUCUGACCGAGCAACGCCGCGUGAGUGAAGAAGGUUUUCGGAUCGUAAAACUCUGUUGGUAGAGAAGAACGUUGGUGAGAGUGGAAAGCUCAUCAAGUGACGGUAACUACCCAGAAAGGGACGGCUAACUACGUG
RNAcentral lists this ribosomal RNA (497 nucleotides) under uncultured bacterium. Its description in RNAcentral is "partial 16S ribosomal RNA". It matches the Rfam family "Bacterial small subunit ribosomal RNA", at positions 28 to 507 of the family's 1533-position model. The record is from RNAcentral.